GCCGGCGUAACUCAGUUGGUAGAGUAGUUGAUUCGUAAUCAACAAGUCAGCAGUUCAAAUCUGCUCGUCGGCUCCA
This 76-nucleotide transfer RNA is filed under the name Deltaproteobacteria bacterium. Its description in RNAcentral is "tRNA-Thr". It matches the Rfam family "tRNA". From Rfam's summary of the family: Transfer RNA (tRNA) molecules are approximately 80 nucleotides in length. The record is from RNAcentral. Lineage: Bacteria; Pseudomonadati; Myxococcota; Myxococcia.